RNAcentral lists this microRNA precursor (72 nucleotides) under Bombyx mori (domestic silkworm). RNAcentral describes it as "mir-2774 microRNA precursor family". It matches the Rfam family "mir-2774 microRNA precursor family". Lineage: Eukaryota; Metazoa; Arthropoda; Insecta; Lepidoptera; Bombycidae. The record is from Rfam by way of RNAcentral.
ACAACAUCUGGACCGUCGCGUCGAUCUACCCAGCAAUAUCACCCGCUCAGUGGAAGAUCUUCCCUCCGUCGU